RNAcentral lists this long non-coding RNA (1309 nucleotides) under Salvator merianae (Argentine black and white tegu). Its description in RNAcentral is "lncRNA (ENSSMRG00000006192.1)". The record is from RNAcentral. Lineage: Eukaryota; Metazoa; Chordata; Lepidosauria; Squamata; Teiidae.
GGGAGAGGUGGGGAUUCUCCCAGUUGGAGUUUAGGUUGUUCAGAUACUGUCACCGCUUUCAAAGCAGCAGCUACACUGGAUUCUCUGCUGAUCCACCAUGAACUUCCCUGUGGUGAUAUUGGCCUUGGCCUUGGCUGUUUUUACAGGAUCCCAGGCUUCUAGACCAAAGAAUGAAUCGGCACCCAGGCUGCCGAAGUCGACUGAAGAGUGGGAACAAGAAUUAAUACAGGUUUUUGGACCAGUGGGAGAACAACUUGGCAUUCUCUGGGAUUCAGACUUUGCUAAGGAGCUAAGAAACCUGCUUAAUUCAUUGGCCUCCAACGUCACUGACACCUGGAAUCAGCAUGACUGGCCUGAGGACCUCCGAGAAGAAUGUUCCCAGGCUUCUGCCUUAAAGAACGAGUCAGAAACCAGUCUGGAGGAGUCGUUCAAUGAAUGGGAGUCGGAAUUAAGAAAGGUUUUCCAAUCACUGGGACUUCAACUGUAUUUGCUCAGGGAAUCAGAAUUUGCGGAGGAACUAAAAUUUCUGGGUUUUGCCUGGACCUUCAAUGCCUCUAAAUUCUGGAUUGGCUAUGACUGGCCUGAGGACAUCCAACAAACACUUCAUUUCUUCCAUGGAGAUUCCCCCAAACCUGUAACUACGGACCUGGCAAAAGCUGUAACGGCUGCAACUGCUGACCUGGCCAAAGCUAUAAGUGUUGGCCUGGUGAGAGCUGUAUCUGCUGUAAUUGCCGGUGUGGCAAAAGCUAUCGCUGCUUGCCUGUCAAAAGCUGUAUCGACUGUCCUGGGAAACUGGGGGGAACCUUCCGAAGGGGAAUUACUUGAUGAUGCAUCUGAAGAACCAGCUGUUUAUAUAGAUCUAGAUGUGAACCCUUUAACUCCAGAGGAGGAUUCCAUAUUGAGUGGUCUGGUUGCCAGGGCCCUGGCGCUGGUCCCCAAGGUAAUUGUGACACGCGCCAACGCUCAGUCUGUUGGAGAUCGGCUGGCCCCUUACGUGAAAGAACGGAGCGAACACGCAGAGUCUGUUCAGCCAACGGUUAUUAAGGUCAAGGAAAACAUCGUAUUAGCACAGAAGGCCCUCAAUAAGUACGUCUCAAAUCCUUACAUUUUCCCAAUUGUGAAGGCAGCUGAAAAAUAUGCCCCUGACUUUCAAGUAUGGGUUCCAACCUGGGUCAUUCCUCCUUUCCAAUAAAGGAAAGUCUGUAAUCAUCGCUCAGCCUUUUGGUGGCUUCUUAAAACUCAUGGAUUCAAUCACAUUCACAAGAUGUGCGUGUGUCUUUAUCUGGCUCAGAAGCCCUUUGUAUAAAAU